Molecule: ribosomal RNA, 453 nt
Filed under: uncultured Porphyromonadaceae bacterium
Lineage: Bacteria; Pseudomonadati; Bacteroidota; Bacteroidia; Bacteroidales; Porphyromonadaceae
Description: bacterial SSU rRNA
Rfam family: Bacterial small subunit ribosomal RNA
Source: RNAcentral
ACGGAAGGCAGCAGUGAGGAAUAUUGGUCAAUGGGCGGAAGCCUGAACCAGCCAAGUCGCGUGAGGGAGGAAGGUCCUACGGAUUGUAAACCUCUUUAGCCGGGGAGCAAUAAGCGCUAUGUAUAGCGUGAUGAGAGUACCCGGAGAAUAAGGAUCGGCUAACUCCGUGCCAGCAGCCGCGGUAAUACGGAGGAUCCGAGCGUUAUCCGGAUUUAUUGGGUUUAAAGGGUGCGCAGGCGGUCGAUUAAGUCAGUGGUCAAAUCCCGGUGCUCAACGCCGUCCCGCCAUUGAUACUGGUUGACGUGAUUCCGGUCGAGGCAGGCGGAAUUCGUAGUGUAGCGGUGAAAUGCAUAGAUAUUACGAAGAACUCCGAUUGCGUAGGCAGCUUACCAGGCCGGCAAUGACGCUCAUGCACGAAAGUGCGGGGAUCGAACAGGAUUAGAUACCCUGGUA